RNAcentral lists this ribosomal RNA (497 nucleotides) under uncultured bacterium. Its description in RNAcentral is "partial 16S ribosomal RNA". It matches the Rfam family "Bacterial small subunit ribosomal RNA", at positions 28 to 507 of the family's 1533-position model. The record is from RNAcentral.
GAUGAACGCUGGCGGCGUGCCUAAUACAUGCAAGUCGAGCGAACAGACGAGGAGCUUGCUCCUCUGACGUUAGCGGCGGAAGGGUGAGUAACACGUGGAUAACCUACCUAUAAGACUGGGAUAACUUCGGGAAACCGGAGCUAAUACCGGAUAAUAUAUUUAACCGCAUGGUUCAAUAGUGAAAGACGGUUUUGCUGUCACUUAUAGAUGGAUCCGCGCCGCAUUAGCUAGUUGGUAAGGUAACGGCUUACCAAGGCAACGAUGCGUAGCCGACCUGAGAGGGUGAGCGGCCACACUGGAACUGAGACACGGUCCAGACUCCUACGGGAGGCAGCAGUAGGGAAUCAUCCGCAAUGGGCGAAAGACUGACGGAGCAACGCCGCGUGAGUGAUGAAGGUCUUCGGAUCGUAAAACUCUGUUAUUAGGGAAGAACAAAUGUGUAAGUAACUAUGCACGUCUUGACGGUACCUACUCAGAAAGCCACGGCUAACUCCGUG